UACGUAGGGUGCGAGCAUUGUCCGGAAUUAUUGGGCGUAAAGAGCUCGUAGGCGGCUUGUCGCGUCGGAUGUGAAAGCCCGGGGCUUAACCCCGGGUCUGCAUUCGAUACGGGCAGGCUAGAGUUCGGUAGGGGAGAUCGGAAUUCCUGGUGUAGCGGUGAAAUGCGCAGAUAUCAGGAGGAACACCGGUGGCGAAGGCGGAUCUCUGGGCCGAUACUGACGCUGAGGAGCGAAAGCGUGGGGAGCGAACAGGAUUAGAAACCCCCGUAGUCC
RNAcentral lists this ribosomal RNA (273 nucleotides) under uncultured bacterium. Its description in RNAcentral is "partial 16S ribosomal RNA". It matches the Rfam family "Bacterial small subunit ribosomal RNA", at positions 524 to 796 of the family's 1533-position model. The record is from RNAcentral.